Bacillus sp. FJAT-27916 is the source of this 186-nucleotide non-coding RNA. The record is from Rfam. Lineage: Bacteria; Bacillati; Bacillota; Bacilli; Caryophanales; Bacillaceae.
GCUAUUGUGAGGUAGUGGCUGAAAGAAGCUGGACGCAAACUCCUGACGGACGAACAGAAACUAGAUACAAGGCUGGCUUAGGUCGGAUGAGCCUGCACAACAAGACGAAGUCCAAUACUGCCCGAAACCUAAUGGAGGAAAGUGUAAACUAGGCAUUCCAGCCGUUAUCGACCGAAUGCUUCAACA